RNAcentral lists this microRNA precursor (123 nucleotides) under Hordeum vulgare. RNAcentral describes it as "microRNA MIR1122". It matches the Rfam family "MIR1120/MIR1122 microRNA precursor family". Lineage: Eukaryota; Viridiplantae; Streptophyta; Magnoliopsida; Poales; Poaceae. The record is from RNAcentral.
AAAAUACUCCCCCCGUCCGGAAAUACUUGUCCUAGAAAUGGAUGUAUGUAGACUUAUUUUAGUUAUGAUACAUCCAUUUUAUUCAUUUUUAGGACAAGUAUUUUCGGACGGAGGGAGUAAUUA